RNAcentral lists this small nucleolar RNA (83 nucleotides) under Mustela putorius furo (domestic ferret). Its description in RNAcentral is "Small nucleolar RNA SNORD116". It matches the Rfam family "Small nucleolar RNA SNORD116". Rfam says of the family: HBII-85 is a member of the C/D class of snoRNAs, which contain the C (UGAUGA) and D (CUGA) box motifs. The record is from Rfam by way of RNAcentral. Lineage: Eukaryota; Metazoa; Chordata; Mammalia; Carnivora; Mustelidae.
GGAUCAAUGAUGAAUUAAAAAGUGGAUUUCAUUAAAAUCUGAAAAAAAAUGAGUGACAGAAACAAUUCUGUGAGCUGAGGUCU